This 476-nucleotide ribosomal RNA is filed under the name uncultured organism. RNAcentral describes it as "partial 16S ribosomal RNA". It matches the Rfam family "Bacterial small subunit ribosomal RNA", at positions 332 to 799 of the family's 1533-position model. The record is from RNAcentral.
UACACUCCUACGGGAGGCAGCAGUGGGGAAUUUUGGACAAUGGGCGAAAGCCUGAUCCAGCCAUGCCGCGUGCAGGAUGAAGGCCUUCGGGUUGUAAACUGCUUUUGUACGGAACGAAACGGCCUUUUCUAAUAAAGAGGGCUAAUGACGGUACCGUAAGAAUAAGCACCGGCUAACUACGUGCCAGCAGCCGCGGUAAUACGUAGGGUGCAAGCGUUAAUCGGAAUUACUGGGCGUAAAGCGUGCGCAGGCGGUUAUGUAAGACAGUUGUGAAAUCCCCGGGCUCAACCUGGGAACUGCAUCUGUGACUGCAUAGCUAGAGUACGGUAGAGGGGGAUGGAAUUCCGCGUGUAGCAGUGAAAUGCGUAGAUAUGCGGAGGAACACCGAUGGCGAAGGCAAUCCCCUGGACCUGUACUGACGCUCAUGCACGAAAGCGUGGGGAGCAAACAGGAUUAGAUACCCUGGUAGUCCCAUG